GCUGGCGGCGUGCCUAACACAUGCAAGUCGAGCGAGAAAGUGGAGCAAUCCAUGAGUACAGCGGCGCACGGGUGAGUAACACGUGACUAACCUACCCUCGAGUGGGGAAUAACUUCGGGAAACCGAGGCUAAUACCGCAUAAUACCCACGGGUCAAAGGAGCAAUUCGCUUGAGGAGGGGGUCGCGGCCGAUUAGUUAGUUGGCAGGGUAAUGGCCUACCAAGACGAUGAUCGGUAUCCGGCCUGAGAGGGCGCACGGACACACUGGAACUGACACACGGUCCAGACUCCUACGGGAGGCAGCAGUGGGGAAUUUUGCGCAAUGGGGGAAACCCUGACGCAGCAACGCCGCGUGGAGGAUGAAGUCCUUCGGGACGUAAACUCCUUUCGACCGGGACGAUUAUGACGGUACCGGAAGAAGAAGCCCCGGCUAACUUCGUGCCAGCAGCCGCGGUAAUACGAGGGGGGCGAGCGUUGUUCGGAAU
RNAcentral lists this ribosomal RNA (484 nucleotides) under uncultured bacterium. RNAcentral's name for it is "bacterial SSU rRNA". It matches the Rfam family "Bacterial small subunit ribosomal RNA", at positions 35 to 551 of the family's 1533-position model. The record is from RNAcentral.